RNAcentral lists this ribosomal RNA (121 nucleotides) under Cryptocaryon irritans. Its description in RNAcentral is "5.8S ribosomal RNA". It matches the Rfam family "5.8S ribosomal RNA", at positions 36 to 154 of the family's 154-position model. From Rfam's summary of the family: 5.8S ribosomal RNA (5.8S rRNA) is a component of the large subunit of the eukaryotic ribosome. It is transcribed by RNA polymerase I as part of the 45S precursor that also contains 18S and 28S rRNA. Lineage: Eukaryota; Ciliophora. The record is from RNAcentral.
AUGAAGAACGCAGCGAAAUGCGAUACGCAAUGCGAAUUGCAGAAUUCCGCGAGUCAUCAGAUCUUUGAACGCAAAUUGCGCCGAGGGGAUAUCCCAACGGCAUGUUUGUUUCAGUGUGUUU